UAUCACCAGUGAAUGCUACUUGACUCCGUAACAUUACGUUGAAAAAAUUGCUUUCAGAUGUCAAUAAAAACCAUCACUCUCGUUCAUACUUGUCACUUGAUAUGACUCUGUCCAACUUUGAUCAUCCAUUAUUCCAUUUGAUGCCAAUUAUCUCCCUCUACCAGAGGAUAUUUUGCAGUCUAUCAAAAGAGUUGAAAUCAGAGAAUAUAGAGAGAAAAAAAUGUCUAUUACAAGAAUUGGGCUACAUGGGAUAUUAUAUUACUAAAAAAUAUUUAAUUCCGUAAAUUUUUGAGAUACUUCUUAACAAAUUUAUAACGUUAUUUAUAUUGGUUACUUUUUUUUCUGUUGUUUCCAUCUGUGUUAGAGUGACGAAACAUGAUACUAGAGCUCUAUACAGGCUUGUUGUUUGUAAAUUCAAGCCUGACAAUGUAUUUCUGCUCGAUCCUUGUUGGAUAUUUGAGCAGAGUCUCUGCCACACCCUAGGGGGAGCGCAGAAGGGAAUUGUUUGGCAGUGAAAUGCACAGAUGCUGUUUACAAUUAUCUCAGGUUGGGGUUAUGUACAGCUCUUUGCCUGGAGUGGGACAAAGGACUCCGUUUUGUUAUGCGGCCAAUAUACCUACUGUUCCUGCCCUGCGAAAUUAUAUAUUAAACUCAGAACUCGCUGAUGAGUUCUCUUUAAAUGAGAUUUAUGACAGCGUUUAGGGUUUCUCAGACCCUUUUCCUUUUCUGUCUUUCUAAUUUUUACCUUUAAAUCUUAAUUAUCAAGUUCAGGCUGCGUCAAUGUAUGUUUUAAACUCAGACCUCACUGAUGAGUUCAGGUUUAGUUGGUGAAUGCUGUGGGGUCGAAGGGGAUGGUCUCCAAAGUUGGCAAUGGAUUAGUCUUGAGUUCAUAAUCA
Populus nigra (black poplar) is the source of this 896-nucleotide long non-coding RNA. RefSeq lists it as uncharacterized. Lineage: Eukaryota; Viridiplantae; Streptophyta; Magnoliopsida; Malpighiales; Salicaceae. The transcript is spliced from 2 exons. The record is from RefSeq and is a predicted model, not a curated record.